Molecule: transfer RNA, 62 nt
Filed under: Melyridae sp. GENSP01
Lineage: Eukaryota; Metazoa; Arthropoda; Insecta; Coleoptera; Melyridae
Description: tRNA-Glu
Source: RNAcentral
AUUUGUAUAGUUUAAAAAAAACAUUACAUUUUCAUUGUAAAAAUAAGUUUACUUUAUAAAUA